GGGCCGGAAGCUGGGAAGGGCCGGGAGAGACCUGGGCUUGGCAGAGGAAGGCAGGGGUGCGGCGAGGGUGCUCCGAGGGCGGAGAAGGGACGCCGAGAGAGCACCCCCUCUGACAGGUCCUUGGGAAGCCGGCUCUCCCUCAGCCCAGGAUCCAGCAGGGGCAGGUCAGGAACAGAAAGAAGCCCUCCUGGAUGGAAAGAAGCCUUCCUGUCCUUUUUGAAGGGCUUCCACGGCCUGCAAGCGUAUAUCCCUCUGCCUCCUGGAAUCCUCCCUCUGCCGCUUGCUCAUCUAGCAAAUUCCAUCCAUCUUUGAAGCCCAGCUCAGCGGUCACCUUCCCAGAGACUCCCUCAGGCCAGGAACUCCAGCCUGUGCCUUCUUUGCAUCUGAAUCCAGCACCUGAUACAGAAACUUUUUUUGGUUAACAUUUAUUUGUUUAUUGUUUAUUGUGGCUGUGACGAGUCUUAGUUGCAGCACGC
Molecule: long non-coding RNA, 476 nt
Organism: Globicephala melas (long-finned pilot whale)
Lineage: Eukaryota; Metazoa; Chordata; Mammalia; Artiodactyla; Delphinidae
Source: RefSeq, a predicted model, not a curated record